Molecule: long non-coding RNA, 2311 nt
Filed under: Nicotiana benthamiana
Lineage: Eukaryota; Viridiplantae; Streptophyta; Magnoliopsida; Solanales; Solanaceae
Description: long non-coding RNA (NBEN_LNC006145)
Source: RNAcentral
CUGGGCCGUCCCUGCGCUAAUUGUGGCCCAUAUGAUUUAUUCAAACGUGUUUGGCAUUUGCAAAGGCUGAAAUCAAAUUAAUUAUAUCUAAUUAAGCAUGUUCUUUAUGGAUUUAAGCAAACAACUUAUUAACCAAAAAUAGUUCAAACCACUGAAUAAUUAUCCUAAAACAGCUGUGUAUUUGGCACAUACUUGUAAACAAAAUAAACUGAUAUACUAGAAUCAUUACUACUACAUCAUUAGUUCUUUAAACUAGCAUAUGAGAGAAGGAAUUUACCAUUUAAACUGUUACAGACUUAUAUCCAUUUAGAGAACAAUAAUCCUUUGGAUGCUUCUAAUGAAGACUACAUAUACCAGUUAAUAUACUAAACUACACCUAAACAAAUUCGAAAACUUUAAGACUUAGUUUCAUUUCUGCUUCUAGUUUCACCUACAAAUGUACCACUAUCGAAAUGUGUACCUGAUACUUGGAAACAAAGAAGAAGAUGAGAGUCAGUGAUGGCAGUAACAGUAUCACAGCAACAGAUUCAGCAACAACAAUUUUAGCAACGCAAAUAGAACAAAUAGUAAUAGAAGGAACAACAACUUAGAAUCCAGCAAAAACUCAAAACCAGUUUCAAAAAAAUCACGCGGCCAAACAGACUGUACUCAACACAGAAACAACACUCAAAUGUUUUGAAUACCCAAAUAUAGAACAAAAAACAAGAGAUUCUGACUAUUUCUGCUCUUAAAACUGACGUAACAGUAUCUCUGAGUAAAACAUCUAUUUCAAAGCACUAUUCUGGUUUUCAAGAGCUUAUUAAAACUGAAAUUCAGUUGUAGAUUGAAAACAAUGGACCAAUUCUUUUCUCUCUAAGAUUUUUCUGAUUUCAAAAACUGCUCCUUCAACUGUUCUGAAAUGAACUCUUAUAUACAACACUGAACCCCCUUUACAACCUGUUUUUGCACUUAGCUAAUUAAUAGCUUAUCAAUCCCAUGUUAUUCUCUUUGUUUUUCCAAUCACAAAUUCAAAAGAAGUAUAUUCCAUGAUAGCCCACAUGUUUCUUUCUUUUUUUUAAGAUUUUAAGACAAACACUCAUUCUUAUACCCUUUCAGAUGUAAUUCUUUUCAGUUUUUUAAAGUCUAAAGUGCCUGUUUUAUUCUGUAGACCACUAGUGAAUGUCUAAGCAUUAUUUAACUCAAUUAAGCAUGGACAAAAAUGAGUUAAUUAAUUCAAAACAGGUUUGACUAACAUGGCUUCCAUUCAGUGGAUUGAUUUGAAUUCGGUAAUUUAAUAAAUCCUCAACUUCGAACGUCAGAAUGAUAUAGAUAAACCAAUUCACAAUUAAAUCCAAACAACUGACUCAAUCAGAAAAUGAAUUAAAUUGCAUCAGGUUAUUCUCACAUUCAAGACUGUGAAACUAAUCGACGAUACUUAUUUAGUCGACUAUAUAUUACAACAUAUAUAAUUGAUAACAAAUAAUCGACAUACGAACAGGGGAUUCACAGCUUUCGGACAAAAAAGGGAAUUACGAAUCUAAAUAUUCGACGAUAUUAAUCGAAUCGAAUAUGUAUUUUAUAACAACCACAAUUUGUAACAAACAGAAACAACAAUCGACCAAAUAAAAGGCUUAUGGAGAAGAAACAGAACGUUGGAAAAAAUAGAAAAAAUAACAAAACAAAACUAAUAACGGAUAUUAAUAAAUAAAAAUAUAAGAAAGGAAGAAGAAGUACCUCAAAAGAAAAAUCAGAAAUCAAAUGAACUUGGGACCAAUUUCGGACUUGGAACUCUUGAGUCCAAACAGACCUUAAUCGAGUGUUCUCAACUGAGAACACUUCGACUAAGGUCUAUCGAACACCCAAAACUCUUCAAUUUGGACAGAAAUCCAGGCUCGGGUUUCCUAGAGUUUUUGGGCUCGGAUUUGGGUUCGAGUGGUUUGGGUUUGAAUUGAACUAGACCAGCUAUGGUUUGGUGACGAGGGAGGCUAGGGAAGGCUAUAGUGUGAGUUUGGGACCAAUUGGUACUGUUUUGUAUUUUGCUCGAAUCUUCUGAAGAUUCGAGAAGCUACGGGAUGAUUCGAAGUGAACGAUUGACGGAUUCAGGUUGGGGGUGGGCUAGUGGCUUUAGGGUUUUAUUUUGGGGGCUAUUGGAGUGGUUGCCGCUAGCUUAAGGGCGGUAGAGUACGCCGGCGGCGCUAGGGUUUCGAGGGAAGUCUGUUUGGCUUGGUCUCUGAGGAAGAGACGAAGGGGAGAUGAUUUGGGAAUGAAGUGGUUUGGAGGAUUCGGGGGUUAUGGGUAUAUUGAAAGCUAUCAAUUAAUACGAGCCGUUGGA